Molecule: transfer RNA, 74 nt
Filed under: Mycobacteroides abscessus
Lineage: Bacteria; Bacillati; Actinomycetota; Actinomycetes; Mycobacteriales; Mycobacteriaceae
Also listed under: 3 other names
Description: tRNA-Asn(gtt)
Rfam family: tRNA
About the family: Transfer RNA (tRNA) molecules are approximately 80 nucleotides in length.
Source: RNAcentral
UCCUUCGUAGCUCAAUUGGUAGAGCUGCGCCCUGUUAAGGCGUCGGUUGUUGGUUCGAAUCCAGCCGGGGGAGC